AGAACUUAGCAGAGAUGCUUUGGUGCCUUCGGGAACUCUGAGACAGGUGCUGCAUGGCUGUCGUCAGCUCGUGUUGUGAAAUGUUGGGUUAAGUCCCGCAACGAGCGCAACCCUUAUCCUUUGUUGCCAGCGGGUUAUGCCGGGAACUCAAAGGAGACUGCCAGUGAUAAACUGGAGGAAGUGGGGAUGACGUCAAGUCAUCAUGGCCCUUACGAGUAGGGCUACACACGUGCUACAAUGGCGCAUACAAAGAGAAGCGACCUCGCGAGAGCAAGCGGACCUCAUAAAGUGCGUCGUAGUCCGGAUUGGAGUCUGCAACUCGACUCCAUGAAGUCGGAAUCGCUAGUAAUCGUAGAUCAGAAUGCUACGGUGAAUACGUUCCCGGGCCUUGUACACACCGCCCGUCACACCAUGGGAGUGGGUUGCAAAAGAAGUAGGUAGCUUAACCUUCGGGAGGGCGCUUACCACUUUGUGAUUCAUGACUGGGGUGAAGUCGUAACAAGGUAAGCGUAGUGCU
RNAcentral lists this ribosomal RNA (517 nucleotides) under uncultured bacterium. RNAcentral's name for it is "bacterial SSU rRNA". It matches the Rfam family "Bacterial small subunit ribosomal RNA", at positions 992 to 1509 of the family's 1533-position model. The record is from RNAcentral.